UGGGGAAUCUUGGACAAUGGGGGAAACCCUGAUCCAGCCAUGCCGCGUGAAUGAAGAAGGCCUUAGGGUUGUAAAGUUCUUUUAGUGGGGAAGAUAAUGACGGUACCCACAGAAAAAGCCCCGGCUAACUCCGUGCCAGCAGCCGCGGUAAUACGGAGGGGGCUAGCGUUGUUCGGAAUUACUGGGCGUAAAGCGCACGUAGGCGGCUUGAAAAGUUGGGGGUGAAAGCCCGGAGCUCAACUCCGGAAUUGCCUUCAAAACUCUCAAGCUAGAGUUCGGAAGAGGAGAGUGGAAUUCCCAGUGUAGAGGUGAAAUUCGUAGAUAUUGGGAAGAACACCAGUGGCGAAGGCGGCUCUCUGGUCCGAUACUGACGCUGAGGUGCGAAAGCGUGGGGAGCAAA
This 400-nucleotide ribosomal RNA is filed under the name uncultured bacterium. RNAcentral describes it as "bacterial SSU rRNA". It matches the Rfam family "Bacterial small subunit ribosomal RNA", at positions 355 to 772 of the family's 1533-position model. The record is from RNAcentral.